Ictidomys tridecemlineatus (thirteen-lined ground squirrel) is the source of this 758-nucleotide long non-coding RNA. RefSeq lists it as uncharacterized. The record is from RefSeq and is a predicted model, not a curated record. NCBI's taxonomy places the organism in Eukaryota, Metazoa, Chordata, Mammalia, Rodentia, Sciuridae.
GACAGUGAAUGGAACAUAAUUUUGACCAUGGGGGAACUUCCAGUAAGAAAAGCAGAUGUACAACUGUCUCCUGAGAGAGAAGAGAAUCCAGACGAGUCCUGCAACCAUCCUUAUUAAGACAGAUAGGGAAGGACUCCAGACUGGAGACAAGGAGACUUCUCUAGGGAAGCCCUCGAGACCUAUGCAUUGGCUGCCACUGAGGAAAGAAGGCUGUCUGCUCCACUGAAGAGCAUGGUGUGGAUUAGCAGGACUUUCAUUCAUUCAUUUUUAUAGAUAUCUGAUAUUUAGUGAGAAUGCUAUUAACUAAGAGACCCUGUGCUAGGUAGUGAAGAUGCUGAGAUGAGAAAGAUAAACUACGAACUGUGAUCCAAAUGAUUUGUCCAACAAAUGUGGGUUUAGACUUCAAACCUCAGAAAAUUGUCCAGCCUGCUGUAGCCCCAGGCAAGUCAUCCUGAAACAGUGCCUCUUGAGCACAUUGGAGUAUUUAAUGAACAGAUAUUGAUUGACUGACUGCUUAUGAGGGUGGCUUGUCAUUGCCCGUUACCCUGGAAGGCAGCUCAGAAGGCAGAACACGUUGGAGAGUGCCAGUGUGAACAAUCAUCUGUGGUGUAAUAGGAGAUACAUAUUUUGUCUUUGUCCCUGGUUCCUGACACAGAGCUCCUAAAAUCCUUGCACUCCGCAGAAUGAGAGUGUAUUUUGUAUGCUGAUGAAGGGUGGUUGGGGCCCUAGACAGCUUCAGGAGAGGGUAGGGAUACUGG